RNAcentral lists this ribosomal RNA (253 nucleotides) under uncultured bacterium. RNAcentral's name for it is "partial 16S ribosomal RNA". It matches the Rfam family "Bacterial small subunit ribosomal RNA", at positions 524 to 776 of the family's 1533-position model. The record is from RNAcentral.
UACGGGGGGGGCAAGCGUUGUUCGGAAUUACUGGGCGUAAAGGGCUCGUAGGUGGCCAACUAAGUCAGACGUGAAAUCCCCAGGCUCAACUUGGGAACUGCGUCUGAUACUGGAUGGCUUGAAUUCGGGAGAGGGAUGCAGAAUUCCAGGUGUAGCGGUGAAAUGCGCAGAUAUCGGGAGGAACACCAGUAGCGAAGGCGGCUCGCUGGGCCGUUCCUGACGCCGAGACGCGAAAGCUAGGGGAGCGAACAGG